Molecule: ribosomal RNA, 496 nt
Filed under: uncultured bacterium
Lineage: Bacteria
Description: partial 16S ribosomal RNA
Rfam family: Bacterial small subunit ribosomal RNA
Source: RNAcentral
AUUGAACGCUGGCGGCAUGCCUUACACAUGCAAGUCGAACGGUAGAGGGGCAACCCUCGAGAGUGGCGAACGGGUGAGUAAUGCAUCGGAACGUGCCCAGUCGUGGGGGAUAACGUGGCGAAAGCUACGCUAAUACCGCAUACGACCCGAGGGUGAAAGCGGGGGACUCGCAAGGGCCUCGCGCGAUUGGAGCGGCCGAUGUCAGAUUAGGUAGUUGGUGGGGUAAAGGCCUACCAAGCCGACGAUCUGUAGCUGGUCUGAGAGGACGACCAGCCACACUGGGACUGAGACACGGCCCAGACUCCUACGGGAGGCAGCAGUGGGGAAUUUUGGACAAUGGGCGCAAGCCUGAUCCAGCCAUGCCGCGUGCGGGAAGAAGGCCUUCGGGUUGUAAACCGCUUUUGUCAGGGAAGAAAUCUUCUGGGUUAAUACCUCGGGAGGAUGACGGUACCUGGAGAAUAAGCACCGGCUAACUACGUGCCAGCAGCAGCCGCCG